GAAUACUUUUGCAAGCCAUGUACGUGCUUCGGUGUUACUAAACCUGGCUGGUCCUGAGGCAAUGAAACGUGCGGAUCGUAUUACAUUUUAC
This is a long non-coding RNA of Amblyraja radiata (thorny skate), 91 nucleotides long. RefSeq lists it as uncharacterized. Lineage: Eukaryota; Metazoa; Chordata; Chondrichthyes; Rajiformes; Rajidae. The transcript is spliced from 3 exons. The record is from RefSeq and is a predicted model, not a curated record.